UCAGAGUGGAAUGAGAUCACUUAUCAAAUUGGCAACAGGUCCUCUCUGGCCAUCUCCGUAUAGUUUGACCCAAUGAGUUUGGUUCUCCCUUCUUUGUCAAUUCCCCUGUCUCCUGAAUGUCUCAUUCUCAAACUAAUUUUGCUUGAAAUUGUGGCUGGAGAUGGUAUGUUUGAAACUUAAUAUGAUGAACAUAGAACAGAUUUCAACACCUUUUUAGCAAAAGAUGUUCACAUAAACCUGAAAUGAAUAUAGCCAAAGAGGACGUGGUCUUUCAGCACCUCCAGCUAAAAAAUGCUGCAGAGGAACUUCCUGUAUUAAGUACAGAUGGGGUUUCACCAUGUUCGCCAGGAUGGUCUCGAUCUCCUGACCUCGUGAUCUGUCCACCUCUGCCUCCCAAAGUGCUGAGAUUACAGGUGUGAGCCACCACUCCCAGCCUUUGUCAUCAUUUCAGAUAGGGUGAAGGAAUGGUUUAA
Molecule: long non-coding RNA, 473 nt
Filed under: Homo sapiens (human)
Lineage: Eukaryota; Metazoa; Chordata; Mammalia; Primates; Hominidae
Description: HSALNT0310977
Source: RNAcentral